GACGGAAGGUGCAAGCGUUGCUCGGAAUCACUGGGCGUAAAGGGUGCGUAGGCGGCCGUGUAAGUCUGGCGUGAAAGCCCGGGGCUUAACCCCGGAAUUGCACCUCAAACUACAUGGCUAGAGCAUUGGAGAGGGUAGCAGAAUUCAUGGUGUAGCAGUGAAAUGCGUAGAUAUCAUGAGGAAUACCAGAGGCGAAGGCGGCUACCUGGACAAUUGCUGACGCUCAGGCACGAAAGCGUGGGGAGCAAAAGGG
This 253-nucleotide ribosomal RNA is filed under the name uncultured bacterium. RNAcentral describes it as "partial 16S ribosomal RNA". It matches the Rfam family "Bacterial small subunit ribosomal RNA", at positions 524 to 776 of the family's 1533-position model. The record is from RNAcentral.